Molecule: long non-coding RNA, 1124 nt
Filed under: Monodelphis domestica (gray short-tailed opossum)
Lineage: Eukaryota; Metazoa; Chordata; Mammalia; Didelphimorphia; Didelphidae
Description: lncRNA (ENSMODG00000043336.1)
Source: RNAcentral
UUGUGGUAAGGUUGCUAAGACACAACCAGAGAAUUCUAAUGUAGUGUUAAACUAGAUAUGAGGUAGGAGAGGCAAAGGUUAGGCAAAAAGGAAUGGCAAGGACCAACUGAUGGAGGUCUUGGAUGCCAGUUUGAGGAUUUGGGAUCUAAUUCUAAGGCCAAUGGAGGCCUCAUAGACAUCUCUCCCGGAUAUGAAGAAGCCAAUGGCUACUAAAUCAGAAGGAAGAAUUGAAAUUAUGUCAGGUCCUUGACCGCUGAUUGCCUCAGAAGACAAUGUAGUAACCGAAGAUAGCAUCUCAUUUGGGUGCCACAGCUGAUAAUGCUCUUUACCAGACAUUUUUGAGGAAAACCAAGUUACCACUGAUAUAAUUGCAGGGAUGGUGCUCCUGGAAAUUGUGCCUGGCACAGUGAGGAAUCUAUCCAGUUUUCUGGGUGGAGGUUGCCAGACCCUCCCUGAGUAAACAGAAGAAUGGAGGAGAAGGAGAAAUGAACCAGAGGUGUGCUUAUUGACAAGUGGCUCUUCUAGCUCCAAAGUGAAGGAGCCUUCACAGCCUGCCUAGGCUCACACUUGGCGAGAGACAAGCAUGGAAUCCCUGGGGGAGGAAAACUGAGCAUCCCCUUCUACGACGGAUCCGGAUCGGUCCCCCAGACGAAAGUGGUGAACCUCGAGCCAAAGCAGACAAGGUCCAGGCAUGCUGGGAGCGUGGUAAGGACACGGAGCGGGGUCAGAUGGAAGGAGCCCAGUAUCGAUGGACAGAUGGCAGCUAGGAGGGGCAGGUGGAGAAAAAGCAAACUCUUCUCUUGGAAUUUCUCUCAGGUCAUAAGCAAAUGAGUACAACUGGUGGAAUCAGCCCACGCUUCUGCCCCUCUCAUCUCAGUCUGUAGGACCUGUAAGCAUCCCGUCUCUCCCAGAGCUCAGUCUUCCUUUUCUUCUGGUGCCCUUGGGGUGCUGGGACGGUCCAGCUCAGAUCUGUAGGACUUCUUCCUCUUUACUUCUGCACCCAUAAGGACCUCUAGCAGGGGCAGCGAGGUGGCAGGCACUCCCUAGCUCUGUGACCCCGGGCAAGUCAUUUAACCCCAAUCGCCUACUCCGUUCUGUUCUCCUACCUUGGAACUGACAUUUAG